CAUGCAAGUCGAGGGGUAUAUUUCUUCGGAGAUAGAGACCGGCGCACGGGUGCGUAACGCGUAUGCAAUCUACCUUUUACAGAGGGAUAGCCCAGAGAAAUUUGGAUUAAUACCUCAUAGUAUUAUGAAAUGGCAUCAUUUUAUAAUUAAAGUCACAACGGUAAAAGAUGAGCAUGCGUCCCAUUAGCUAGUUGGUAAGGUAACGGCUUACCAAGGCUACGAUGGGUAGGGGUCCUGAGAGGGAGAUCCCCCACACUGGUACUGAGACACGGACCAGACUCCUACGGGAGGCAGCAGUGAGGAAUAUUGGACAAUGGGCGCAAGCCUGAUCCAGCCAUGCCGCGUGCAGGAUGACGGUCCUAUGGAUUGUAAACUGCUUUUAUACGAGAAGAAACACUACUUCGUGAAGUAGCUUGACGGUAUCGUAAGAAUAAGGAUCGGCUAACUCCGUGCCAGCAGCCGCGGUAAUACGGAGGAUCCAAGCGUUAUCCGGAAUCAUUGGGUUUAAAGGGUCCGUAGGCGGUUUAAUAAGUCAGUGGUGAAAGCCCAUCGCUCAACGGUGGAACGGCCAUUGAUACUGUUAAACUUGAAUUAUUAGGAAGUAACUAGAAUAUGUAGUGUAGCGGUGAAAUGCUUAGAGAUUACAUGGAAUACCAAUUGCGAAGGCAGGUUACUACUA
RNAcentral lists this ribosomal RNA (679 nucleotides) under Flavobacterium sp. RNAcentral's name for it is "bacterial SSU rRNA". It matches the Rfam family "Bacterial small subunit ribosomal RNA", at positions 54 to 734 of the family's 1533-position model. The record is from RNAcentral. Lineage: Bacteria; Pseudomonadati; Bacteroidota; Flavobacteriia; Flavobacteriales; Flavobacteriaceae.